Molecule: ribosomal RNA, 301 nt
Filed under: uncultured bacterium
Lineage: Bacteria
Description: partial 16S ribosomal RNA
Rfam family: Bacterial small subunit ribosomal RNA
Source: RNAcentral
CAGUCGCCGCGGUAAUACGUAGGUGGCAAGCGUUGUCCGGAAUUAUUGGGCGUAAAGGGCUCGCAGGCGGUUUCUUAAGUCUGAUGUGAAAGCCCCCGGCUCAACCGGGGAGGGUCAUUGGAAACUGGGAAACUUGAGUGCAGAAGGGGAGAGUGGAAUUCCACGUGUAGCGGUGAAAUGCGUAGAGAUGUGGAGGAACACCAGUGGCGAAGGCGACUCUCUGGUCUGUAACUGACGCUGAGGAGCGAAAGCGUGGGGAGCGAACAGGAUUAGAUACCCCAGUAGUCCCUGUCUCUUAUAU